RNAcentral lists this long non-coding RNA (178 nucleotides) under Bos indicus x Bos taurus (hybrid cattle). RNAcentral's name for it is "lncRNA (ENSBIXG00000001942.1)". Lineage: Eukaryota; Metazoa; Chordata; Mammalia; Artiodactyla; Bovidae. The record is from RNAcentral.
CAGGGUACUAGCUCUGUUCUACCACAAAUAAUACUAAAUUUUCCUUCUAAUUGGCAGGAGUCCAGAACCAAAACCCCUCAUCGCCAACUGUUUAGUCUGGAUAUAAGAAAGUGGAUAAAUUUUCUUCUCAAAAAAAAAAGCACUUACUUGAUUUCAGUGUCCUUGAGAAUAUUCCCAA